GAUGAACGCUGGCGGCGUGCUUAACACAUGCAAGUCGAACGAAGCACUUUAUUUGAUUUCCUUCGGGACUGAUUAUUUUGUGACUGAGUGGCGGACGGGUGAGUAACGCGUGGGUAACCUGCCUUGUACAGGGGGAUAAUAGUUGGAAACGGCUGCUAAUACCGCAUAAGCGCACAGCAUCGCAUGAUGCAGUGUGAAAAACUCCGGUGGUAUAAGAUGGACCCGAGUUGGAUUAGCUAGUGGGUGAGGUAACGGCCCACCAAGGCGACGAUCCAUAGCCGACCUGAGAGGGUGACCGGCCACAUUGGGACUGAGCCACGGCCCAAACUCCUACGGGAGGCAGCAGUGGGGAAUAUUGCACAAUGGGCGAAAGCCUGAUGCAGCGACGCCGCGUGAGCGAAGAAGUAUUUCGGUAUGUAAAGCUCUAUAAGCAGGGAAGAUAAUGACGGUACCUGAAUAAGAAGCACCGGCUAAAUACGUG
This 481-nucleotide ribosomal RNA is filed under the name uncultured bacterium. Its description in RNAcentral is "partial 16S ribosomal RNA". It matches the Rfam family "Bacterial small subunit ribosomal RNA", at positions 28 to 507 of the family's 1533-position model. The record is from RNAcentral.